GAAAGCCCGAGAGCAGCUGACGCCCAUGAGGUGAGGAAAGUCCCCCCUCCGCAGGUGGAGGCCAACCGUCCAAAGCCGGUAUUCCGAGAGGAAUGGCAAUGAGAAAAGAAAUAAACGCUCCCCGGUAAAAUAUGACUGGAAAACAUGAUGUUUCCGGGGGUGGCGAUGGGAACUUAUCCUGGCCGGAGAAAGUCCAAACAGACCCUGUGACGCCACCGGGAGGGUCAGGUAGGACGAAGGCUAAAGGCCGAUCAGUCGAAUGCUGCAAGCCUGAAAGGGGUAACAGAAGGGGGCUUACUCCGGGCAGUC
Molecule: RNase P RNA, 309 nt
Filed under: Thermoplasmatales archaeon E-plasma
Lineage: Archaea; Methanobacteriati; Thermoplasmatota; Thermoplasmata; Thermoplasmatales
Also listed under: 1 other name
Description: Archaeal RNase P
Rfam family: Archaeal RNase P
About the family: Ribonuclease P (RNase P) is a ubiquitous endoribonuclease, found in archaea, bacteria and eukarya as well as chloroplasts and mitochondria. Its best characterised activity is the generation of mature 5'-ends of tRNAs by cleaving the 5'-leader elements of precursor-tRNAs.
Source: Rfam by way of RNAcentral